RNAcentral lists this ribosomal RNA (438 nucleotides) under uncultured bacterium. RNAcentral describes it as "partial 16S ribosomal RNA". It matches the Rfam family "Bacterial small subunit ribosomal RNA", at positions 339 to 795 of the family's 1533-position model. The record is from RNAcentral.
CUACGGGGUGCACCAGUGAGGAAUAUUGCACAAUGGGGGGAACCCUGAUGCAGCAACGCCGCGUGGAGGAUGACGCAUUUCGGUGUGUAAACUCCUUUUAUAUGUCAAGAAAAUGACGGUAGCAUAUGAAUAAGCACCGGCUAACUCCGUGCCAGCAGCCGCGGUAAUACGGAGGGUGCAAGCGUUACUCGGAAUCACUGGGCGUAAAGGACGCGUAGGCGGGUUGGAAAGUCAGGUGUGAAAUCCUACAGCUUAACUGUAGAACUGCACUUGAAACUUCUAAUCUAGAGGAUGGGAGGGAAGAUGGAAUUAGUGGUGUAGGGGUAAAAUCCGUAGAUAUCACUAGGAAUACCUAAAGCGAAGGCGAUCUCCUGGAACAUUACUGACGCUAAGGCGUGAAAGCGUGGGGAGCAAACAGGAUUAGAUACCCCUGUAGUC